GUGUUUGGCCUUCGAUGGCCUCGAGCCGGAGCGAGAAGUCAGCCGAGGCCAUAGUAGGGGGCGGUACGCGCCACCCCUGAAGGGC
This 85-nucleotide non-coding RNA is filed under the name Methylobacterium sp. 174MFSha1.1. The record is from RNAcentral. Lineage: Bacteria; Pseudomonadati; Pseudomonadota; Alphaproteobacteria; Hyphomicrobiales; Methylobacteriaceae.